UCAGCUAUAAAAGCUGACGGGUUCAUACCUCGUUUAUGAACUAAAAUGCCUGAGUAA
Molecule: transfer RNA, 57 nt
Filed under: Parachtes teruelis
Lineage: Eukaryota; Metazoa; Arthropoda; Arachnida; Araneae; Dysderidae
Description: partial tRNA-Met
Source: RNAcentral